ACGUAGGUGGCGAGCGUUAUCCGGAUUUACUGGGCGUAAAGCGUGUGCAGGCGGGCUGUCAAGUGGUGUAUGAAAUCGCUCGGCUUAACCGGGCGCGGUUAUGCCAGACUGACAGUCUGGAGUGCGGGAGAGGGGCGUGGAAUUCCGGGUGUAGUGGUGAAAUGCGUAGAGAUCCGGAGGAACACCAGAGGCGAAGGCGGCACACUGGGCUGCACCUGACGCUGAACCGCGAAAGCCAGGGGAGCGAACGGGA
RNAcentral lists this ribosomal RNA (253 nucleotides) under uncultured prokaryote. RNAcentral describes it as "partial 16S ribosomal RNA". It matches the Rfam family "Bacterial small subunit ribosomal RNA", at positions 525 to 777 of the family's 1533-position model. The record is from RNAcentral.